GAAACAAGGACAAUGACUGUUGGGAUCUGCAGUAGUCAUGGAAGAAACCAUCGCUGAGGCUAGCUCUCUGCCAUCACACUGGUCUGCUCAAUGGGCCGAACUAUAUGCUCUAAUCUGGGCCCUCCAGCUGUCAAAAGGACAGAAUCUCAGAGCAGCACUGCCUGCUCACAGGUCAAUGCUGCCUCUUGGCACAGACGGAAACCUCUGGGUAUUCAGCUAAAAGGCAGGCUGCCCUUUGAACACCUGGAAGUGGACUUCACUGAAACGAAAUCUCACCAACACUACCUGCUGGUCAUGUUAAACUUGCAGGUGUCACUCCCUGGAUCCACCACACGAGGGUGAAGAGAGCAUACCACGCAGACCUGGAGGACACUGAGUGGACUACACAAAAGGACCCUACUGAGCCCCGUGAAACCAAGAUCGUCUUAAAAAGAAAAAGAGGUGAAGCUCUACAAUCAACUGCUGCUAC
This is a long non-coding RNA of Budorcas taxicolor (takin), 469 nucleotides long. RefSeq lists it as uncharacterized. NCBI's taxonomy places the organism in Eukaryota, Metazoa, Chordata, Mammalia, Artiodactyla, Bovidae. The transcript is spliced from 3 exons. The record is from RefSeq and is a predicted model, not a curated record.